AUCUCUUCCUGGAGAUUGCUCCUUGUGGAGUUUUUACGAGCCUACAACACCGCAGGUGGAAUAUGGCUGCUUGAGAAACCUGAUGCCAAUGAAUGUAUAAGGCAAGAAGCUGCUCCCAGUAUUGUCUCUCUGUGACAGCGGGUGCUGAAGAUUCCUGAGCUGUGUAACAGGGACGUCUCCCAGAGAUGAAAACUGGUCUUGGACAGCACUGAAACUUCAAUCAGACCCACAGAGUCCUGGGAGAUCCCAAGCAUUAUCAGAACAAAGGAAAAUAGUUGUGUUUUGAAAGUAUUUUGAAAGGCCAGCUUUCCUUUCAGGGCUCCUCAUUUUCCAGUGGAUUUUUCUUUGUAACUUUUCCUUACGAUUAAGAAUGGUACUUUUCUGCAAAAUACUUUCUUGUCAUUUAAGACAGCCUUUUGUUUUCCUUUAGGGAAAAGUGAUCAUCACCCAAAGUGUUGCAUUUGGUUUAGUUUUGAUACCUAGAUCUGGUCAGUCAGGAACUUUCGUACCAUGCUGCAGGUACCUUGUGGGCAAAGAGAGCAGCAAGCAGGCAGAACCAUCACAGACUGCAUGAGACCACCUCAAAUUCCUUGUGGACUCCAGGGUAUUAUUAGGCUCUCUUUAUCUCCAUAGCUGACUAGGUCACUUAAAGGAUAUAUUCCAUCUCUUAUCCCCUUCAGUGUAACGACUGUAUUCAUAGAAUCAUCCCAAGUGGGGAUAGGGACCCGUAAGAGUUGCUGGUCCAACUCCUUGCUCCAUACAGGACUCCCUCACAGUCAGACCGUACUGUCUCAGUGAAUCAUGUUAUGAGUCUGAUGUCCACGCAGGACCCUGAUUUGUUUCUCAUGAGUCCUUAGGACAGACAGGUGUGCUGGUAAUUUCAUAGAAGUUUGCUGUAAUUUAACCCUGAUAUUGUUAGUGGAAUUCUCAGAGAAAAGAGAAAUGAAGGUGACCAAAAAGAAAAGCUAGUUUGUGUAAAAUGUUUGCAGUGAAAAGCCUUGAUCUUGCUCACGCAGAUGGAGAGAUACUAACUUAAUUUGUGUUAAACAAUUGAACUGAGAGUAGGAACUAAUAUGAAUAUUUAUAGUUGCUCGUUGUCUAGCUCACCCUAAAUUUAACCUCUCUGCUCAUCUUUUCCUUAAAGAUGGCUUCUCCCCCCAUUUUUUUGGUUAACAAGUUGUUUGAGAAACACACAGCUUACGGAAAGUAAUGGCUCUUUCAUCAUUGUGCAGUUCUGAUCUCUACUGCCCGCAGAGAUCUCAGGUUUGCUUUGUAUUGAUUUUUGCAUCUGAAGUGCAGUUUAGUAGUACAAAAAUGAAUGGAGAAGCUGCUCACACUCAAGGAGACUUUAGGCAUUGAGCCUGGGGAGCUUUUAAGAGGGAAAAAACACUGGGCAUUCUCCCUCAGAACAUCUUUCAGUAGGAUUGCAUGUCAAAAUACAUUGCAUCCAGAUGUCAUGCUCCAUCCCAGAGAGGUUAGGCAGUAGUAAGAAGUGUGACAGAGAUAGUUCAGUAUGUCUCCUUCCAGGUCUCUUUGGUAUUACCACCACUAACUGACCGCCUUUCAGACUCCUCUCUCUAGGGCUUGUGUUUGUCUGAGCCUGCCCUAACUUAUGGCCUACUGCAAAUGAUCCCUUUUCACAUCCAGACCCAAAAGCUUGUGCCAGCUUAUUCUACUUGGGAAUAUGCCAUUUGGUAUGGAAAUGCAGCAGUUCUCCAAAAUACCUUACUCAGAUUUUUCCCAGAAACCUGGCAAUGUCAAAUAAUCUGUAUUUGCUCAUGCAAGGUCAUUGUUUCAUGGCUGAUUAACAUUCUCUUGGCCUCAAAUGUAAGGGAAAGAAACAAAUAAGCACCCAAAACCUUAUGUUAACUCAAGAUGUUAGCUUCAGUUAAGUCUUGUCACUUUUUUAAUGUAAUGUGGAUCAGUUGUGGUCAACUAAAUCUACUGAAAUGAAGUGAAUAUAUUCAGUCAAUAAAACAGAAUGUGAAAACCUAGCUAUCUCUGCAGUUGGGUGGAGGCAAGGCAGUGGAUGGCUGACUGUUAGAUCUUUCUACUGGUGAGCUGCAGCGUAUUUGUGAUUACAAGGCCACCCUCCUCUUCUUUUUGCAGAUUUGUUUGACUAUUGUGUUUGAGAGGGCUGUGCCACACCUUUAGAGUAAGUCCCUU
This 2166-nucleotide long non-coding RNA is filed under the name Gallus gallus (chicken). RNAcentral describes it as "lncRNA (ENSGALG00010009006.1)". Lineage: Eukaryota; Metazoa; Chordata; Aves; Galliformes; Phasianidae. The record is from RNAcentral.